CAGGAUUAAGGUAAGGCAAGUAAGGAGUGUCAAAAAACCCAGCAAUCAAGAUGAAUAGUAUAAUAAUAUAAUAUUCUAGCAAAUCAAAAUUAGUGCAAAAAAUCCCAAGUGAACAAAAGAAGAAAAUCAUACCAUAUACAAAUAUUAAUUCAAAAUGUAUCAAAAACCUAAAUGUAAGAGCUAAAAUGAUAAGUCUUAGAAGAGGUGCAGAUCUUCAUGACUUUGUAUUUGGCAGUGGUAUGUUACGUGUGCACCAAAACCCAUAAAUGACAGGCAAAAAAAUCGGUAAGUUGGAUUUUCUCAAAAUUAAAAACUUUCAUUAGUCAAAGGACACUAUUUUUUUUGACAAAGGACACUAUCAAUAUAGCGAAAAGAGAAAACAGAGAGAAAAUAUUUCCAAAUCAUAUAUUUGAUAAGGGACUUGUGUCUAGAAUAUAUAUAGAAUUCUUAAAACUCAACAAAAAAGACAGAUAUCAUAAUUAAAAAGUGAGUAAGAAUUGGAAUAGACAUUUCUCCAAAGAACGUAACACAGAUGGCCAAUAUUUGCCCUGUGCAGAACCCUGUACCAGUUACACAUACAUUAAAUAUCCAAGAUUCAGGGAGAUGGAGGGGAAUAAACCUUACCCUCAACAGUGACUCCACUCCUCCCUUAGUGAAAUUCAUCUUUGCCUCAGAGAAAAGGAGCCACGUGACAACAGAUAUUCAACAGGGAACAGUGAUAAUUGAAAGCAUUGCUGAGUUUAUUCCAACCAAAUAAAGCAACACACAGGUCAUCCUCACAAUAACUCAAGUGGCAAAAGCCAAAAACAAGGAUUUUUUGUUGUUUUAAUUACUAGUCACUGCCUGUAGCUUUCUCCCACAUCUCACUUCAGAAAAUGUGGGUUAACAAAUUGUAUGCAAAGAAACACAGGAAAAGAGAGAAAGGGAAAAUGAAGUUCAUCUAGUGUGCAGUUGAAGGUGUGUUAUCCAGUUUCUCUUCUGUAAGCUGCUCCAUCAGCAUGGUCCACUUCGAAUUACUUUAAUAUCAUGGCCAUCCUCCCUGCAAAUUGAGCAACCCCAUAAAAACACAUUUAUUAUUAAAUUUCCCCCUCUACCCCUCCUGAGUUUUUGUGGCUGGACUAAUAAUAAAAUGGACAUAAAACAGAUUAAAAGGAGGAAAAGAAACUUUAAUAAUGGCACACAGAGGUCUUACAGAAAUGGGGCCUAAUAAGUGGCCAAAGCGGGCAAGCUUCAUACUUUUUAGAAUAAGAAACAAUAAAUCUGUGAGGAAUUGACAGGGAAAGAAACUUAUGCUUUGGGUGCUUAACUAGUAAAGAAUCUAAACAGAGUUUUGGCUCAGGGUAGUAAAUUAAACUAACAAAGCUUGUUUAUACAGGCUUUUCAGCUCUGAAUUCUGUUAGGUGAUAAGAGUGUCCUCCCUCCAGAUGCAGGGAGUGAACCUUUCUUAGGAGAGAUUUAUUUCCUGCUCUCAGGGAGACGGAGAGGAGGGUCAAAAUGUCCCUCUUGCACUGGAUCUUUCUUAAGUAACUUUAAUUCAAAAUAAUUAAUAUGCCAUUGAGGCAUAUUUUGGGGUGCCCUUCCCUGGGCCUCAACAGUUACUUCCUUUGAAACUUCCCUGAAAGUUUCACAUAUUAAAAGUUGAGCUGAUAGUGUUUUCCAUCUCAUUGAACCAGUCUCUUAGACUUGACAAUAGGUCAGUUCAGUUAAACUUAUUUCUGGAGCUGGUAAUGCAGAUGGGUUCCCAAAGUCGGGUCUAUGGUGCAAGCAAUCAUGUAUUUAAUAAGAAGCAUAUCUAUGGAAACAAAAUAAAACAGAAGUUAAUGAUUGGAGCAGAUUGUAAGCCCACUUCUGAGCCCAGAGGGCAGUCAGUUAAGAUUUCUAGAUGUUAGAGUUGAAGGAUCUUUUGCAAUUUGAAAUAUCUGAUGAUGUCAUCAGGUGUUUAGGUAAACUUUCUGGCUCAUACAGCAACAGGCACAAAGGUUGUUUAAACAUGAGCUGUUGCAGCAAUUUCCCUUAAGUUUGUAUCAAGUUGUCUAGCUUCAGUUUGCAGAGCUUCAGGAAAAGAAGGGCAAUUUUAGUUCUCAGUGAUUCCAAAUCAAAAGAACAGGAGAAAUUUGGAAAAGUUAGUUUGGAGAGUCAUAGCUAGACACUAGAGAAUACUAGAAGAAUUGACGAUACAGUCUAGUUUACAGGUAAAUAACAAAAACCUCAAAGACGAUGAACAGAACUAGGAUCUGGUAUCUACAAGUGUGUAUCUUAGUUUCUGCCGAAACACAGUUUUUCUCUCUGUAAUUACCCACUGUUUUUACCAAAGGUAGCCAAAUUAGACUAAUUUGUUUGCAAAAGAAGUCUAGAUUCAAUAAACUUGGCCUGGUUGUUUACAUAAGUACGGUAAGAAUAGCAAUUGACCAUAUAGGCUGUUUUAAAUCUGCUUUGCUUGAACUUCUUAUAAGGAAUCUCAGAUUAAAUUUUCAAUAGCCUCUCAAGGCUAAGAAACAAAGCCACACAUUGACCAUCAGCCUUUGCCUGCAAUAGGCACGGAUUUGGGUGAAUUCCUCUCUUCACGAGGUCCCCAAAAUAUCCUCAGUGUCCUGGGCCUGCCAGGAAGUAACCUUCCUUACUCACCUAGUAAGGCUGCUGUGAACCCUGAAAGCUGUUUUUCUAAGGAGCUUUAUUGGCUCUGUAAAGUCAACCUUAGUUUCUCAAAGCUGUCUGGUCAUAUCUGAGUCUAUGCAUCUCUGUCAAAUAUGACAUUCCAGUCAAAGCUUUGAUAACAUGAUCAAUGUUUCCAUUUGUGUCCUGUUAUAAGGAGAACAGAUUCUUACUGAACGUAUGCAAAUAACUCUAUUGCCAAGAAAAUAAGAAUACUCACUGAUAGUUUCUGAAUUCUGGAGGAAUCCAGAAGAGAGAAAAAGAUAAAUGAUUCAAUUCUGCUUACAAAAGUAUAUUGUACCAAACUGCUCUAAGUCAUAGUAAGCGUAAGAGAAAAGAGAAAUGUUUUCCUUAAAUCUGGAGAAACAAAACAUUUAGGAGAAAAGCAAUGUUUCAAAUUUUAAAAAAUCAUAAAACAUUAUAAUUAUCUCCCUCAGUUUAUUUAGUCCUAUGUAAUUAAUUCUUGCUUCGCUUGAUCUUUUGUUAGAAAUUUUAUGAAGCCAUCAGUUUCUCUAUUAGAGUUCUGUGAAUUCUUACCCAGGUAUGAUUUGAAAGUCAUCAGAAACUUAUAUUCUAGCAUAUUUGUUAGAUUCCUUUCCAUGAAUUUCCCUGAAGAUAAAACACUUUUUUGCAGGAAUCUUUUGUAAAAGCAUCUGCAUGAAACAAUGACUGUGUAUAAAUGAUAAAAGACUUUAAAAUGUCCAUUAUUAAAGAUUUGAUUCAUUAUAAUGGAACUGAUAAUGAAGUUUGGUUAUCUCUGAGACAUAUCAUUUUAAGAUAAUAACUAGAACUAUGACUAACGUUAUACUAGGACAUAUCCAAAUUCUAGGAAUUUCAUGUAUUUUCUAUAACAUUUAUAUUAAUAAUACUUACCCAUACAGUAUAACAUAAGAAGGUUUAUCCUCCUUUAUUUCACAAUGCUUCCCAUUAUAAUUUAACCUACUAAAUAAGCUUGAUAAGUUUAAUAUCUCUGUUAUAAAUGAGAGAAAGUAAUUUUUUUGAGGUGUUCCAGGGACCCUCUGGAAAUCUCCAAAGUUAUUUCCAGGUCGGUAAGUCUUUUUUUGGGAAGUUUGUCAAAAAUACCAGAAGUUUUUAAAACACUUGGUCAAAUAGGAUCAUAGGUCACUGUGAAACAAUACUUAGCUGUCCAUUUAAUCAAAGUGACUAAGAUUUCCCUGGCAAAUACAGAAAGUUGAAUAGUUAUAAAAAGCCUUAGCUAUUUUAGUAUUGAAAAGACUUUGUUUUGUCUUCUAACUGAUUAAAAACCUGAUAAAGACAAAAUAUAGAAUCUUUGUUUUUCUAGACAGAUUAUAUUAAAGGUAAAGAAAUCCUUUUUUUUAUAAUUUCCUCUUAAGACCAGAGCAAUGUAAGAAAGCUUUGUUCUUUGAACAGAGAGAAAAACCAAAUUUAAUUUUGUACUAACUUACUUUUGAUAUUAAAACUCAUUUACUUAAUUAAAUUCCAAACUUAGCCAUUCCUGAUUCCACAUAAAAUUCCUUUCUAAAGAGUCCUUUUUUUACAAACCUUUUUAUAAUUUUCUAUGUGUGUGUGUGUGUGUGUAUAUACAUACACACAUACACAUACACAUACACAUACACAUACAUAUACAUAUACAUAUACAUAUACAUAUACAUAUACAUAUACCUCCCUUGUUUUCUUUCCCAUUUAGAAAUAACCAGCUUUAGGACAAAAUCAUUUUCUUUUUUUUCCUUAACAAAAGCACCUCCAUACCUUUACUUACCCCCAAACACAUCUUAUUUCUUUUAUUAUUUCUAGUACUUUUAAUUUUAGUAUAGUUAAUAUAUUAAUUGGAAUUCUUAAUCUUUUAAAAUCUUAAUUUGGGGGGAAAUAAAGAAGUAAAUAAUUGUGAACUGUAUUAAUAUUUUGUGGCUUAGCGAACUUAUAAACACAUGUUAUAAUUUCUAGAAAUAUAUUUUACUUUAUAGCAUAAUAUUUUCAGUAAAAUGGAAAAUAUAUGUACUAAUAGACCCAAACAUAUUUAGUUCCUCUGUAAUAAGACAUCAAAAGUAGGUAAACUUAGACUUGUUUAGUGAUUAAUGUUUCAGUAUUUUAUCUUAUUUGGGAUUUUUUGGGGGGGGGAGAUAAUUAGGUUUAUUUAUUUAUAUUUAAUGGAGAAACUGGGGAUUGAACCUAGGACCUUGUGCAUGCUAAGCUUGUGCUAUACCACUGAGCUAUACCUUCCCACUUAAUUAUCUUAUUUAGAAAUGAUAUAGACACCCAGUGAAUUCCCAUCAUUUAAUUUAACUUAGCAAAACUCUAAGGGUGUAAAUUAAAUUACCAAAGAGAAUUAGGAAACUAAGUAUACAAAUCAUAAGACAAUUGUUUUUGAAAAUCUCAGCUAAAAACUCUUACCUCAUUUACAUCUAGUUAAUUCAUUUGUUCUUAACAAUCGUACAUAGAUUACUCAUGAAAAUUUCAUGAGUCAACAAAGCAGUCAUUAUCUUAAGAUUUUUUCUUUCUUUCUUUCUUUUCUUUCUUCCUUUCUUCCCUUUCUUUCCUUUCUUUCUUUCUCUCUCUUUCUUCCUUCCUUCCUUUCUUCCCUUCUUUUUCUUUCUUUCCUUUCUUUCUUUCUCUCUCUUCCUUCCUUCCUUUCUUCCUUUCUUUCUUUGUGACAGAGACAACAUAAACCCACUAGACAAGUAAACUCAAGUAGAACAAAAUUUUUUAUCUGCAUUAUAUUGAAUACUGAUAACUCUGAAGACAUCCAAAUACUGAUUAAAUGAACGAGCUCAAAAUUAGUUUUUAUUUCCUAAAGAUUAUCCUAGAACUUGAAAAACAUUUGGUUUAGUUUUUAUUAUAUUUUAAUGUAAGUUCUUGUAAACAAACAAUUUGUUUAAACAAAAAACAAUUAAAUAGAGCUCUUCUACAAGUUAAUUUUGGCAGUACCAUCUAGAGGCAGAAGAACAUCCAUAGCAUAGCCAUACAGACAUAUACAUAACCAGAGUUUUUUUGGUUUUCAUUUUAAAACUUUAGUCAUGAAAAAACAACAACAAAAAACUUUAGUCAUGAAUCAGGUACAAUACAAAACUCACUAGUUUAUAAACAAAGUUGUAAUGAAUCAAGUUUACUUGUUCAGAUGGCUAACGUUUAUUAUUUAUGGAGAAGACUUAAGAUCUGUAUUUGCCUUAGACAAGCAAUUGUAGAGAGGUUGUAAUUUCCUAGAAUUUGGGCAAAAGAAUCCUUUUAGCAGUCUAUGUUUUAAAAGGCCCCUUUCCCUUUUUUUUGGUUUCAAAUUCUAUCAAUUCAGCUAAUCUAGGCUCAGUCUUAAGCAAGGUGGGCUAUGUUGAUAUUUCAAAGACAUAAUAAGAUUUAUAGCUUUAAGGGACAGAGAAAGAAAAUGUAACUUUUCUCCUAGGAGUUUUGGAGUAUAUUUAUUUGUCUAUUAUCAUAAGCCUUAGGAUAAUUAUUAUUUUAAAACAAUUUUUAAAGUAUAGGAUAAUUUUGCUCCAAUAUUCUGAUCUUUUAUAAUAUCUAGAAGCAUUUUGAGAGGAAUAGGCAAGGUUUGGGGAUUGGUAAAGAUAAGUGGGCUUUGGUUUGUUGUGUUUCUGGUUUUGUAGAGGUUUGGAAGCAAAAACAGUUGUUUUGGUUAGCCCUUGAAUAUUGGUUUCCAGUUGAUCUGUUUCCUCUUUAUUUGUAGGCGAGCUUGGAGAAUUACUGAAGAGAUGGGCAAUUUUUUUUUUUUUAGAAGGGGAAUUUAUGUUGGUCUUACACUUUAUUUUUUCCUUUUAAUUUGAUCUUCUGGUAAGUACCAAUACAACAGUUGUUUAUGAUGAGAAUUCUCAAAAGUGUUUUCCUCUUAAAUAUAGCCAAUUUAAAGGAUUCUUUGUCUGGCCAUUGACUAGUAGGAUCUUUAAUAUUAAUUUAAAUAGUGACCCAAACCAAUCAGCCUUUCUUAAGGCUUAACCAAAGACACAAGAGUCAUCUCACAAGAGUAUAUAGCCCUCACAUGAUCCAGAAAGUUCACUCCCAUGGUCAGUCAAAGAAAGUAAGGCAACAAAGUUUGAGACAACACCAGCUCCUUAUGAACUGGGACCCCUUAAGACCAACCACCCUGAGAGCUGGCAUGGCCAAACAGAGUGCUAACUUUGUGUCUAAGCACCCCGGUCUAUUCAACGGGCUACCAAAUGUACCUUCCAAAUGGCAUAGACCAGGGAGAAUAUUCUCACUGGACACAAAGCCAAGCUCUCAAGACAUGAAACAAAAUGGAAGGAAGAACCUCAUCUGGUUUUUACAUAGAAAAGCCACAGCAAACUUUGUCUAAAUAGAUGCAGGUCUAGUGUGAACCAUCAACUCGCUAGUCUGUGAGACUGGCUCAGACAGUAGGUUUAUAGGGCCUGUGCCUGCAUUCUGCCCUAUGGUUCUUCCUCCUUAUGGCAAACAACACGAUAGACAGAGACUAAGAAAAACAGUGACCAUCUCUAGGAAGAAAAGAAUUCUCAAGAGUUGCUAAGUUUAAGGAACUGGCUCAACAAAUGUUUUCUCCUGCUAAUCUAAAUUUAGAGAGGGAGGAAAGGGACUCUCUCCACUUUACCUUCCACAAGACCUUGCAGGCAGAGAUCUAGGAUGCUGAUGUGGUAAGAAAUCUUAACUUCUGCUGAUCUUUAUCAGAUGUCCCAGGAACUCUCAGCUGCAGUAGCCUCAGGAUGGAAAGUGAGCUCCAGCCAGUCUCCUGGCUGGCUCACCAGCUGCUGGGGUAGAAGAAAUACCCCCUCGACUCUCUUGAAUUCUUGUGGCUAGACUAAUAAUAAAACGGACACAAGACAGGCUAACAGGAGAAAAAGAACCAAAUUUUUAUUCGUGUACGCAGAGGUCUCCUUGAAAUGAGACCUAGUAAGUGACCAAAGCAGGCAGCUUUUAUAUUUUUGAGACGAAAAACCAAUAAAAUUGUGAGGAAUUGACAAGACAAACUUUUUUUUGGGGUGCUUAAUUAGUAAAGAAUCUCAACAGAGUUUCAGCUCCAGGUAGUAAAUAAAUGAAGUAACAAGGUUUGUUUAUCCAAGCUUUUCGGUUCUGAACUCCCUAUCUCUGGUGAUAAGACUGUCCUUCUACCUUCAGAUGAAAGGAGUGCACCUUUCACAAGAGAUUAAUUUCUUUCUUUCAGGCAAACAGAGAGGAGAGUCAGUGUCCCUUUUGCAUUGGCUUGGUCUUAAGUAACUUUAAUUCAAAAUAAUUAAUGUGCAGUUGAGGCACAUAUGGGGGCCCUGCUCAGGGCCACCAUAUUACAAUGUUACCUGCCAUAUUGAAACUGUUCCACUAUUUGUAUUAACAGACUCAUGUCAUUAUCAUUAGAUUCUUCCAGGGUGAUGCUUACUUAAUCAUUUUUAAAGCUGAAUCCAGGAAACAGUGAGGGUGAAAGCCCAACUCUACCAUGUUUCCAUCACCCCAGGGCAUAGGGAGCUACCCCCGAAGUCACUCAGAGAGGGCCUAGUAACUCAUCGAGGUCAGAGAACCGAGCCCUGAAACACAAAGCAGCUCACCUGGAGGAGGAGUCACGGCCAUCUGAGCUGGUCAGGUGUGCUACGUGGGAGGACAUCAGGCCAUUUAAAUCAAGUAUGACUUGAUGAACUCAGCUCAGGAAUGACAAUUCCAAGAUUAUGAGAUAAAAUUCCAUAGACAUUUCUUGAAAGACUACAACUUGUUUGUACUGUUCUAUCUAAUGUAAAGUUGUAAAACUAUCAAUUUCCAAGUUGCCAUCCAUGCCAACUCCACAUGCCAUUUCCUUUUAUCUGUUACUCUGAUGUGUUUGAAGAAACAUCCAAGCAUCAUAUCAUGAAUGACCUUCCCUCCUACCUCCAGAGGCAAAGAUGUAACCUUUCCAGGCAUUGGCCAAUUCCGGUGUGAUAAAUAAAAUUAUCUUUAAAAUUGGAGUAUGACGUCACCACAUAGUAUGAUGGAAACAAAGAUAUAGCCAGUGCCCAUUUAUUCAGAAUGACAGGAAACUGUAUAACUGGAUAGUCUGAUUAGGUCCAUCUAUGUUGCUGCAAAUGGCAUUAUUUUACUCUUUUUAUGGAACCUGUCAUGAUGUUGAAAGCACCUAAUGUGAAUUGACAGGAAUAACUCCUAGAACAAUGAAGAAUCCCAAUUACAUGACUGAGGGAAAAGUACAAAAUAGACAGGAGCUGCUCACAUAGAUCCCACCAAAGCUGGGCUGGUAAAUCAGAUCCAGGCAAAAGAGGAAAC
Vicugna pacos (alpaca) is the source of this 8853-nucleotide non-coding RNA. Lineage: Eukaryota; Metazoa; Chordata; Mammalia; Artiodactyla; Camelidae. The record is from RefSeq and is a predicted model, not a curated record.